AGCAGGCCCUCUUGAGGGCUUCUCUCCCCAGAUUAUGGCUCCCUGGGAGUUUGCAGCCUCUAAGGAAUGUGGAGGAACACACAGAUUCCCAGUUUGGGGCCUGGAGCUCUCCUGGGGGACAAAGGGAACAGCCUGAGUCAGCUGAUUGCCUGGCAGGUGAGUUAUGAAACAUCUGGAUGGGAGUACUAUUUACUUUGUUAGUAAAUCUAAAGAUCAUCCACCGUAGCACUCAAUACCUGGGCCUUGAUGCACGUGGAAACAAAUACCUUUUGUAGAACAGGAACCUAGCCAGGCACUUUGCUGAGAAUUGUGUAUGCAUCGUUUCUCUUAAUCUUCACAGGAUCCAUGGGGAGCUUUGUCAUGAUUCCCAUUGACAGAAUGGGGCUUCUGGAUGUUAGCUGCAGUGUCCAAAGUCACCCCGCUGGUGAGUGCAGAACUGGGACUUGAACCUUCAUUUCUUUAACUAUAAAAUCUAGGCUUUUCACUAUCAUCCUAAGCUACCCAAGCAGAGCAUCCUAGAGCUGAAGAUGUCAUCAAUAUUUCCCACCCCUGUCUGCAGCUUAGAAUUCCCAGGGGAACCAUUAAAACGUAUGAAUGUCCCUGUGCAUCUGUAAGUUAAUGAACGUUCUGGGUGAGACCUGGCCUGACCAGUGCUCUGAAUAAUUCUGAGGGGCAGCCUAGAUGAGAACUAGUAGAAUUUAAUGCCCCCCCCCACCUUUUUUUUUAGUAAUGACAAAACUGAGGCCCAGGGAGUGACUUGCCCAAGGUGUUUAAUUUUUUUUUUUUUUAAUUUUUAUACUGGGAAUUGAACCCAGGACCUUGUGCCAGCUAAGUACAUGCUGUAUUGCUGAGCUAUAUCUCCAGCCUCAAGCUUUCCCAAGUUUACACUUCUAUAAUUCUAUAUAUUAAGUAGCAGAGUUGGAGCUAGGUCAAGUCCAUACAUAGAGCCCUGUGUGGCCACAGGUUCUGUGGGAAGUAAUGAUUAAAAGGCUUUAGAUGGUGUUGCUUCCAGACAGGUCCCUAGACGCACCCAUACUCUCUUCCCCUCAAACCACAAGUGCUUAUUUCUCCACACUCAGCCCUCAAAUGCCAAUUUGAACAUUGAGACAUUUGUUCUGUCUCUCUAGUGGCCUUUUCGUGGUCAUAUUUAGAAUGUUAAAAUCUCAUGUUGCAGCUCCUCCGUAGCCUGGGGAGAGGGUGUCAAGAUGCAGACACCUCCCUUACUCUCAAGCAUGCCUAGGUCCUCUGUUCCCAGAUGCUCUGACCUGUGAGAGUGGCUACAUGUUGCCCUUUCAGACGGUUGUACAUAUCUUUCUUCUUGGUAAGGCUGGGCCACUGCCACACGGUCAGCUCCACAUGGCAAAUCUGUGUCCAAAGGUCACAGAGCCUGGAGUUAGACCCUGAGAACCCAAUACCCGGAGGUCAAUGGCUGAACAGAGGUAAAGGGGGUGGAGAGUGGAGGAAGGGGCAUGGCGAAGAGCCAGCUUGUCUGGAGGAAGGUGAGAAUCAGGGAGGGGUUGGAGGGAGUGGCAGGAGAAUCUCUCAUUUACCUUCUUCUCUGGGAGCCAGCCAGCUAUGGUCAGCAUAGGGCUCCAGCAAGCUGCAGGCAGCACUGGGCUGUACUUCUCAGGAAGUGUGAGACAUCUGGGGAUGUGCUUUGAGAGGCAGAACAGGAGUGGAGGCCCCAAAGUGGCCCAGGAGCCUGACCCCAGGGCAGGGAAUCCCCAUCUUUUGGUGAGGGGAAGUUGUGUUAUCUCAUCAUGCCCUUUGCUUCAUAAUCUGUCAGCUCACUGCCAUGUUUGCCCAGUCAACUUCUUUGUCUUCCUACCCCUCCUUGUUGACUCUUGCCCUCCCUUGGAGCAACUCUGUUGGUGAAGGAGAGAGCCAUGUUAGUAUAUGCCAGAGCCCUGAGAUGGUACCUUUCCCAUCUGUGCCCACACAAGAGAAGCUGUGAAUAUGGAAGACCUCAGCAAGGUCCCUGAGCAU
Molecule: long non-coding RNA, 1986 nt
Filed under: Marmota monax (woodchuck)
Lineage: Eukaryota; Metazoa; Chordata; Mammalia; Rodentia; Sciuridae
Source: RNAcentral